GAUGAACGCUGGCGGCGUGCUUAACACAUGCAAGUCGAACGGAAAGGCCCAAGCUUGCUUGGGUACUCGAGUGGCGAACGGGUGAGUAACACGUGGGUGAUCUGCCCUGCACUUCGGGAUAAGCCUGGGAAACUGGGUCUAAUACCGGAUAGGACCACUUCUUGGAUGUUGUGGUGGAAAGUUUUCUCGGUGUGGGAUGAGCUCGCGGCCUAUCAGCUUGUUGGUGGGGUAAUGGCCUACCAAGGCGUCGACGGGUAGCCGGCCCGAGAGGGUGUACGGCCACAUUGGGACUGAGAUACGGCCCAGACUCCUACGGGAGGCAGCAGGGGGGAAUAUUGCACAAUGGGCGCAAGCCUGAUGCAGCGACGCCGCGUGGGGGAUGACGGCCUUCGGGUUGUAAACUCCUUUCGCUAGGGACGAAGCGUUUUUGUGACGGUACCUGGAGAAGAAGCACCGGCUAACUACGUG
RNAcentral lists this ribosomal RNA (468 nucleotides) under uncultured bacterium. RNAcentral describes it as "partial 16S ribosomal RNA". It matches the Rfam family "Bacterial small subunit ribosomal RNA", at positions 28 to 507 of the family's 1533-position model. The record is from RNAcentral.